CUGGCUCCGGCCUUUCUCCUCCUCUGAGGCCUGGAUCUUCUCUUCGCGACCAGUCUGCCCUUUCCUUCUUUUCCUCACUCGCGAGUCGGCCACCGCCGUUCCCGUUUAGGGAUAGUCUCGCUCGGGCGCCUGCUCGAGGCUGAUCUCAGGGGCUCCGGGCUGCGCAGGGAGGGAGCCGCCUUCCGGAAGAGGACGGUGGGGCGCGAGGGAAGCCAUCGCGGACUAAAUAAGGGAGGCUGCAGCGGCUGCGCGUGCGCCCAGAGGCGCAGCGGGAGGGGGUGCUCUCGGGCGAGCUCUCCGGCCGCGGCCCCCGCCCCUGCGCUGUCGGGCGGGGAGGUCGGAAACCCCCUGGCGAGACCACGGGCGGACGCUUCCCGAAGAGCUGCCUGGGCUGCAGCCGCGGAAGCUGCGUUCUGGGGAGCGGGGAGCGUGCUCCGGCGCCUUCGGGCCGCUGCUGGAAGCCGGAACCGAGCCCGGGCCGCUGCCCCUCACCGGACGCCGCGCGCCACCGGCCCUCCGCGGGGCAGGGGCUGCUGCGAGCUCGCCGGGCGCCCUUUAGACAGUCGUCCUUGUCUACUCCACUACCAAAUGUUGAAGUUCUUCAAGAAUCAGUCCUUUGGAGGCAUUUAAGGAAAUCUGUUUCUCUUUUGGAUCACUAGCUGCAAAUUAAGCUAACAGAACAGGAGCUCAGCUGGUCACACACAGCAACGAAUACAGACUUUAUAAAGUUCAGAAAAGUUACCAAACAGUGGUAACCAUAACAAGUACCAACAAUGAACUAUGGGGAGGGAGGAGAAUCUGAUUUCCAGAGUUACCACAUUAUAAUACUAUUCAAAAUGUCACAUUUUUAGCAAAGAUUACAUGACAAGGAAAAACCAGAAAAGUAUGGCCCAUACACAGGUAAAAAAAGAAAUUAAUAGAAACUACCCCUGAAGAAGCACAGACUUCGGAUGUACAAAACAAAGACUUUUCAUCAACUCUUUUAGAUAUGCUAGAAGAGCUAAAGGAAACCAUGGACAGAGAACAAAAAAAUUAGGAAAGCAAUGUCUCAUCCAAUACAGAAUAUCAAUAAAGAGAUUGAAAUUGUAGAAAAGAACCAAAUAGAAAUUCUGGAGUUGAAAAGUAUUAUAACUAAAACUGAAAAUUCACUAGAGGUAUUCAGCAGCAGACUGGAGAAGUCAGAAGAAAGAAUCAACAGGCUUCAAGAUAGGUCAAUUAAGAUUAUACAGUCUGAGGAGCAGAAAGGAAAAAGAAUGAAGAAAAAUGAACAGAGCAUAAAAGACCUCUGGGACUCUAUCAAGCAUACCAGUAUAUGCAUGAGGGGAGUCCCAGAAGGAGAAGAAAGAGAGAAAGGGACAUAAUAUUUGAAGAAAUAAUGGUAGAAAAUGUCCCAGCUUUGAUGAAAUACAUGAAUCUAGAUAUUCAAGAGGCUCAAAGAACCCUAAAUAGGGUAAACUCAAAAAGACCCACACCGGAAUGCAAAAGUGAGCUGGGUGUGGUGGCACGUGCCUGUGGUCCCAGCUACUCGAGAGGCUAAGGCAGGAAAAUCGCUUGAACCCAGGAGGCAGAGAUUGCGGUGAGCCGGGAUUGCGCCAGUGCACUCCAGCUGGGCGACAGAGCGAGAUUCCAUCUCGAAAAAAAAAAAAAAAAAAAAAAAAAACUAUUGCUGCAGUCAUUCAGAUGGAAAUGGGGAAAGAAUAAUAUUAACUGAUUUCAAAAAGGACUUGAAGAUGUGAAUCAUCUAUUUUGCUGAAGAAAUCUUAACUCUUUGAAAUUACUUUUUGUUGCUGUUGUCAUACUCUUAGGUGCCAAACUGCGGUAAAUUUUUUAUCAGUGAAGUGGAAGCAUGUGUUUUGUUGUUUUGGGAAUUUUUAUCAAGUAUCUUCAGAGAAGAUUAUUUCCUGCUUUAUCUUCAAAAACUGGAAAGGAAGGGUCAAAGAAAAGACAGUAGCUGGCCGGUCAUGGUGGCUCAUGCCUGUAAUCCCAACACUUUGGGAGGCUGAGGUGGGCAGAUCACCUGAGGUUGGGAGUUCGAGGCCAGCCUGACCAACGUGGAGAAAUGCCAUCUCUACUAAAGAUGCAAGGAUUGGCCGGGCGUGGUGGUGCGUGCCUGUGAUCCCAGCUGCUCAGGAGGCUGAGGCAGGAGAAUCGCUUGGACCUGGGAGGUGGAGGUUGCGGUGAGCUGAGAUCACGCCAUUGCACUCCAGCCUGGGCAACAAGCGAAACUCUGUCUCAAAAAAAAAGAAAAGACAGUAGCUUAUGUUCAUGUCAAGCACCUCUCAUCACAGUCUAGUUCCAAGGAAAAAAUUCCCAGCGUUUUCUACAUUCGGUGCUGCGUCAUCUGAAAUCGGCACAUUCCAUGGAGGAAGGAGUCCUGCUUUGUUGCAUGUAUCCUAGGGUUUAAUGUUGGUAAAUGAGUCACUCUAGCAUUUGUAGAAGGCUCCCUGAGACUCCUGCAGCAGUCGACCAAGCCCAAGGACAUAAUUGAAUCUGGAGAGUCCUGGGGCCUUGUUUUGAAAAAGACUUGAAAUACACAUAGGAAGAAAGGCAUAAAAAUAAAUGUUCACUUGUCUCUGCUGUGAGUAUGUGUUCCAACUUUUCAGUGAUGGCUUUGAGAAUUCUCAAACUUGACUGGCUCUAAGUGUAUCUGGUGGCUUUUGUAUCGUAACCUGAAACUGGCUUAGUACUUUUUCCUAAAAGCUCAGGAUUUGAGAAUGAGGACCCCUUCGCCAGGAAAACAUGUAUACACUCAAAAUUUUGCUUGCAGUUCUAGGGUGUUUAGACCUUUCUCAGAUACCUGUGCAUCUUAUGGGUUUUGUUUUUCUCUUUGAGACAGUCUCACCCUGUUGCCCAGGCUGGAGUGCAGUGGCAUGGUCUCAGCUCAUUGCAGCCUCCACCUCCUGGGUUCAAG
Molecule: long non-coding RNA, 2911 nt
Filed under: Homo sapiens (human)
Lineage: Eukaryota; Metazoa; Chordata; Mammalia; Primates; Hominidae
Description: LHRI_LNC1709.1
Source: RNAcentral